AACAUCUGAUUUAAUUCUUGUGUGGAGAGAUCUUUUGGGAAAUGAUUUCUAAAAAGGUGCUAGUAGAGGUUUCAAGGCAUACAAGGAGUGGUGCAACCAGUUCUUGCGAAGAACAAUCAACAGCGCACUUAGGAAGAAAGCUGUAGUACCAUGAUGAAUUGGAAAGGGCCCUGAUCGCUCCCAUGUGGAUCACUGUUGGAGGGCUUCUACUUUGGAGUCUCAUGGAGAUUUCAAGAUUAUCAGUUCAUGAUCUUCAUGAUGGUAUAUGACUUCUGAUCUUCUU
RNAcentral lists this long non-coding RNA (283 nucleotides) under Elaeis guineensis (African oil palm). Its description in RNAcentral is "long non-coding RNA (EGUI_LNC054480)". The record is from RNAcentral. Lineage: Eukaryota; Viridiplantae; Streptophyta; Magnoliopsida; Arecales; Arecaceae.